AGGUGCUAUCUUACCAACACUAAUGCACCGGAUCCCAUGUGAACUCCGCAGUUAAGCGUGCUUGGGCGAGAGUAGUAUUAGGAUGGGUUACCUCUUGGGAGGUCCUCGUGUUGCACCUC
Molecule: ribosomal RNA, 119 nt
Filed under: Lupinus angustifolius (narrow-leaved blue lupine)
Lineage: Eukaryota; Viridiplantae; Streptophyta; Magnoliopsida; Fabales; Fabaceae
Source: RNAcentral